AGUUUAUGCCCAAGUAUAUAAUAUAUAAUAUUCAAGAUUGAGACUUUUAAAAGGGAGUUUAUGUCCAAGUAUAAUAUAUAAUAUUCAAGAUUAGAACUUUAGUCCCAAUCUUGAAUAUUAUAUAUUAUACUUGGGCAUAAACUCC
Non-coding RNA from Solanum tuberosum (potato), 145 nucleotides. RefSeq annotates it as microRNA MIR7994b. Lineage: Eukaryota; Viridiplantae; Streptophyta; Magnoliopsida; Solanales; Solanaceae. The record is from RefSeq and is marked provisional. The transcript has a single exon.